CCUCAAUAUUUCAGCCAAUUUUUCGCAGAAUACUUGCUUGAUAUGCUUAGCUAAACUUCUUGUUCUUUUAAAUGCAGGAUUUCUUUGAAUUGAAGGGAUAGCGCGCGCACAAGGGAGCUGCAUGAACCACUAUAGAAUUAUGAAUAAACCAUAAAAGUUGAUAUCAUUAUGUAUGAAACAAUAUUUUAAAAGUAUUAUGUAUCUGCAAGCAAGAUACAUUAGGAAAUUAAGGAACGGACAGACUUCUUUGUUGACGAUAUGCUGUAUUCUUUAAUAAGCCUUCAUUUAGAAAUUAAAACAUGUCUAGAGUAUGAUGACAAUAAAUUAGAAGCACGCUGUGACAGAACCUGGUUCCUCACUUCUGUUAUACAAGAAGUACAAAAUAUAGCAUAUUCUUGGCCUCGCUGAAUACACUCCCAACAAAAAAGUGGAAACUGAAUCCAGAUUAAGGCUCAGUUAGUUUUUCUUUUACUUCCCUAACAGUCUGAAUCAAUCACAAUCUUGAAAUGUGGAGAACUAUCAGCAUUGCAUGAUGAUUGUGUUUUAAUCGGGCAAGAAAUUCAGGCAACAAACUCUUGCCUCAAAUAAUAUUAGUAAUUACACCCAAAUAAGAAAACCACACUCAUUAGUAUCAAUGGUUUUUAAAAGAAAUGGUGAAGAUAUUCCAUACUCUGAUCAUUCUCUUGCUAGUUUUAGCAGCACCAGCAAUGGCCAAGCCUUCUUGCAACAUAGUUUCAAAAGGGCUAGAACCAUGUUAUUCAUACAUUAAAGGGAAAUAUCAUUCCAUGAAGCCAUCAAAU
Molecule: long non-coding RNA, 800 nt
Filed under: Nicotiana benthamiana
Lineage: Eukaryota; Viridiplantae; Streptophyta; Magnoliopsida; Solanales; Solanaceae
Description: long non-coding RNA (NBEN_LNC003121)
Source: RNAcentral